CCUCAAGUCUGUUAAUAUACUGUAUUACAUUUAUUGAUUUACCUAUGUUGAACCAUCCUUCCAUCCCUGAGAUGAAUCCUCACUUGGUCAGGGUGUAUGAUCUUCUUGAUGGUCCUCUGUAUUCUGUUUGCCAGUAUCUUGUUGAGGAUUUUUGCAUCUGUGUUCAUUAGGGGGAUUGGCCUGUAGUUCUCUUUUUUGGUUGGGUCUUUCUCUGCUUUUGGAAUCAAAGUAAUGCCUGCUUCCAGGAAUGAAUUUGGGAGUAUUGCUUCCCUUUCAAUGUAAUUAAAGUUUGAGAAGUAAUGGCAUUAGCUUUUCCCUAAAUUUUUUGUAGAAUUCAGGAGUGAAGCCAUCAGUACUUGUUUUUACUUUGUUUUUGAGGAAGGGUCUUCCUCUGGAGCUCAGGGCUAGCUUGAACUAUAAAGUUUGACUCUGUUUCAAAAAUAACAGAAAAAUAGAGAUAAGAAUAAAAUCAUCCUGGGUUUGAGCUCCAGCACUGAAAAAAUAUUUUAAAAAAUUUUAUGUACUGAUGAUGAAAAUUAUUAAUAUUUUUGUUUAAAAAAAUUGUUUUCAGACUAAAAAGCUCUACAAAUUGUAAGGCAGUAAAAAGUGAAAACAGUAUGGGGUCUCUCAAGAAAGAUUAAAUUAGAAAAAUAGAUUACUUAUAAAAGAAUGUGAGUCAGAUCAACAUCACAGUUAUCAAGAAAAACUCUGGAUAACAGAAAAUAUGUUACAGGUUUUAGGGUUCCAGAGCCUCCUUCUAGAGGUGGUUUCUAGGUUCUUUCCAUCCUGAGCAAAGAAUUGAUCAAGACAAAUACAAAUGGUAGCGAAGUUUUAUUAAAGGUAAGAAAAGAGACAGGCUAAUCAGAGUAAAUUUGGGCCAAAUAAAAGUAGGAAAAGAAGUACACCCUAGCUGGGAAUUUAGCUCAGUGGUUUCAGCGUCUGCCUUGCAUGCACAAGGUCCAGAGUUUGAUCCCCAGCACCCCCCCGCCCAAAGUACACCCUACAGUGUGAGUGCGGG
Molecule: long non-coding RNA, 1018 nt
Filed under: Heterocephalus glaber (naked mole-rat)
Lineage: Eukaryota; Metazoa; Chordata; Mammalia; Rodentia; Bathyergidae
Description: lncRNA (ENSHGLG00000032995.1)
Source: RNAcentral